AACGCAACUUGCGCUCUCUGGUAUUCCGGAGAGCAUGCCUGUUUGAGUGUCAUGAAAUCUCAACCAUUAGGGUUUCUUAAUGGCUUGGAUUUGGAGGUUGCCAUUCUAAAUGGCUCCUCUCAAAAGAGUUAGCGAGUUUAACUAUUGCUAUCUGGCGUAAUAAGUUUCGCUGGAAUGGUAUUGUGAAGCGCGCUUCUAAUCGUCUUCGGACAAUUACUUUGACUCUGGCCUCAAAUCAGGUAGGACUACCCGCUGAACUUAA
This 262-nucleotide unclassified non-coding RNA is filed under the name uncultured Apiotrichum. Its description in RNAcentral is "sequence contains ITS2". The stretch from base 1 to 52 matches the Rfam family "5.8S ribosomal RNA", at positions 103 to 154 of the family's 154-position model. Lineage: Eukaryota; Fungi; Basidiomycota; Tremellomycetes; Trichosporonales; Trichosporonaceae. The record is from RNAcentral.